Molecule: long non-coding RNA, 378 nt
Filed under: Gallus gallus (chicken)
Lineage: Eukaryota; Metazoa; Chordata; Aves; Galliformes; Phasianidae
Source: RNAcentral
GUUUUUUAUAGAUUCUGGAAUGGAUUUGAUGCAGUUGUGAUACAAAUUUAACGUUUCCAGUGGUGCAAAAAGCCAGACAUCAGGAGGAAUUUCAGUAAAUCUGUUCUUGGAAAGAUCUGCUUGAGUGGUGUCGCUCAGGUCGUAGCCGCUGCCCGGGAAGUCGCGCAGCUUCCUGCCGCUGAGACAGAGGAUGCCCGAGCUGCCCGCCUCCUCCAGGGCCCGGUCCAAGCUGCGCACCGUGUGAGGCUGCGGAAGGGUGGCCGCCCCCCAGUGAGGCCCGGCCGAGAAGGAGAGAGUGAGGUGAGCGGGGAUCCCCAGCCCCCCCGUCCCGUUGUUAUUGCUGCUGCUGCUGCCGCCGCUGUUGCUGCUACCGCCGCC